CUCCUAUCGGCUCCCGACAACGCCAUGAAGUCUGAACGGAUCCACUUUUCUCUGUGCCUCAUCUUUUCCCUGCCCUUCCAUACAUUUUCAGGGAUUCUCUUUCCCGAAUAUCUCAGAAAAGAACUGUGUAAAACCUCACACCUUGGAUGUAAGGCAAAAUCGGAGGGGUCCCCCGGGAGGGGACUGUGAAGGGGGAGGGGGUCUAGGCAGCCUGGGGACGUCGCUGCCCAUCAGUGAGAAUCAAGUCCUCCUCCGUCUCCCACCGUAUGGUUCUAGAGCAUCCGCUUGCAGGAGUUACGUUAAGUUCCGCCUACAGAUGGGAGACGGAGGAGACGGAGGGAGACAGAGGGGAGAAUCGACCCAAGUUUUUUCCAAGAGACUUCAGUGUAAGAGGAAUGGAGCUUAGGAUCAUUGGGUCCAUGUCAGGAGUGUCCAGGAAAUUCCUUUAGUGGUGCGUAUAUGUCUGGGCGAGAGCGAGUGUGAGUGUGUGUGUGCGUGUGUGUCACAUGAGUGUCCAUUCUAUUUAACACACUUGUACAGGACCGCUGUGUUCCUUUCUGCAGAUAGAGGGCAGCAGAGGCCAGCAUUCACAUGCUUAGGGCGCUGGCAUUCUACUUAUUUAAAUUAAUUUGCUCAAUUCAUAUUCUAGUGGACAUGUCUGAAGCACUCAGGGUAAAGAGACAAACUGCCCAUUGUGGCUAAGGGCUGUAGUUGAACUUCAAGAAUACUGACACUAACGCUUUCUUUGUCUCCAAUAUGGUCAUCAUGGCUCUCCCUCUAACCUCCUUGGUCUCAGUGAGAAAUGAAAUCUGCAACUACCCCCCAUUGUUCGGCACCUGCAAAUUAACUUUGACCCGAUAUUACUACAACACCUUGACAUUUUUGUGUGAGCCCUUCAUGUUCUCUGGCUGUGGAGGCAACAGAAACAACUUUAAACAAAAAUACAUCUGUGAAAAGAUGUGUAUUCUGAAAAGGUACAUCUCUCUUGGCAACUCCCUCCUUCACCUCUGUUGACACCAAACACUGGGAACCAUGGUUUUUCAAGAAAAGCCAAGUGUGAGAGUUCCCGUCGUGGCUCAGUGGUAACGAACCUGACUAGGAUCCAUGAGGAUGCGGGUUCGAUCCCUGGUCUCACUCAGUGGGUCGGGGAUCUGGUGUUGUUAUGAGCUGUGGUGUAGGUCACAGACUUGGCUCAGAUCUGGCGUGGCUGUGGCUGUGGUGUAGGCCGGCAGCUACAGCUCUGAUUUGACCCCUAGCCUGGGAACUUCCAUAUGCCGAGGGUGCAGCCCUAAAAAGAAAAAAAAGGGGAGGGGAACAGCUAUGAAGUUCUGCUAACAUGUAGAGAACCCUUUGUUUCUUCCAACAACCAUAUGAAUUACUAAAUUUGUUUAUUUGUUAGCAGGAAAAAGUAAGCUUAAUACGACAGAAGGAAGAAAUAAGGAAGAGGAAAACGUAUGCCCAAAUUAUUCUGAGUAAAUAAAUUGGACUAUUGCUAGAAGUUUUUUGAAUUC
This 1511-nucleotide long non-coding RNA is filed under the name Sus scrofa (pig). RNAcentral describes it as "lncRNA (ENSSSCG00060034948.1)". Lineage: Eukaryota; Metazoa; Chordata; Mammalia; Artiodactyla; Suidae. The record is from RNAcentral.